This is a long non-coding RNA of Carassius carassius (crucian carp), 823 nucleotides long. RefSeq lists it as uncharacterized. The record is from RefSeq and is a predicted model, not a curated record. The transcript has 4 exons. NCBI's taxonomy places the organism in Eukaryota, Metazoa, Chordata, Actinopteri, Cypriniformes, Cyprinidae.
CAGCUCUUGCAACUACAAGCUCUCCUUCAACUGAGUCUCAAACAACAACUCCUUCAAAGCCAGGUGUGAUCAAGAAUCUCACUGUGAACAUCAUCACAACAUCAUCUGUGUUUCUGACAUGGAAUGAACCAGUUGGAAAUAGAGCUUUCUUUAAAAUUCAGUGGAUGGGUGAUAAAACAAAUGGAAAUUCAACAACUACAAACAUUACCUAUAACAUCACUGGUCUGACUGCUGGAGUCAAUUACACAUUCUGCAUCACUGCUGUGGCAGCAGAUCAAGUAACAGAAGGAGAAACUGUCUGCAUCUCACAAUAUACCAAGCCAGAUGUGGUCAGGAAUCUCAGAGUGAAAAAUAUCACAACAUCAUCUGUGUUUCUGACAUGGGAUGAACCAGUUGAAAAUAGAUCUUUUUUAAGUUCGCUGGACUGAUGAUGAAACAAAUAAAAAUAGUACUUAUACUUCCUAUAACAUCACUUGUCUGACUGCUGGAGUCAAUUACACAUUCUGCAUCACUGCUGUGGCAGCAGAUCAACAAACAGAAGGAGAAACUGUCUGAAUCUCACAAUUCACAUAGCCAAACAUGAUCAUAAAUCUAACAGUGUCUGAAAUCACAACAUCAUCUGUGUUUCUGACAUGGGAUGAACCAUUUGGAAAUAGAUCUUUCUUUAAAAUUCAGUGGAUGGGUGAUAAAACAAAUGGAAAUUCAACUACUGACACUUCCUAUAACAUCCCUGGUCUGACUGCUGGAGUCAAUUACACAUUAAACAUCACAGCUGUUGCAGCAGAUCAAUCAACAGAAGGAGAAUCAGUGGUUACCUCAAAAU